Phacochoerus africanus (Common warthog) is the source of this 498-nucleotide long non-coding RNA. RefSeq lists it as uncharacterized. The transcript has 3 exons. The record is from RefSeq and is a predicted model, not a curated record. Lineage: Eukaryota; Metazoa; Chordata; Mammalia; Artiodactyla; Suidae.
GUGGAAACCUCAGACAGGUGAAGCCCACAGCUACUCAGCUGGGAAGUAGAGGAGCCAGGUUUGAAACCUACAAAGCUGUGCUCUUGAUCGCUGGACUCUCUCACUUCCUGAAGUCUGCUUGGGCAGUGCCCUCCAUCGUUCCUGGACAUGUAAUUCCCAAGGUGCUGAUGAAGUCAACACGGAGUGGAGAGGAGCUGGUACUGGAGCAGGGGACCGUAUGAGGAGCUGAGCCUUCGUGGACCAGAGAUAAAGAAAGGAGAAGUGAGUGCCUGGUCCAUACUGAUUGUUCAGGACCUGUAGAGACUGCUCUUGUGGAGGUGAGGUGAGAGGUCAUCUGAGCGAAGUGGGUUUUGGAAAGAAGAAAGAACAAAGAACCUGGCAUCAGGGGACCUGUCCUCUGGAUGGAGCUCCACCAGGGCUCAUUGCGACCUUGAACAAGAUGCUCCCCUCUUCCUGGGCUCAGUUUCUGCAUUUGCAAGUUGCAUGUAUUGUCCCUCC